UCCUCUGUAAUUUGCGCCUCUGCCCCCUGUACAGCAUAUACUCACCCACGGAGCCUCCAAGUCAUCUGGCUUGCCUCUCCUCCGCCAUGCCGCCUCCACACGCCGGCUGCCUAGCUUCCCCCGCAGGGCCGACCCCUGGCGGCCUUCCUCCGAUAUGUCGCCUCCCCAUCGACGAGUGCCAACGGCCUACGCCGCGGCUCAGGCGCCUCCCACCACGCCCCUCCUCUCCAAUCACAGGUUCCAUCCCGCGAUCCAAAGUUCCCCUCGUCUCCGGGUCUGGACGGAGCCGCCGCCAUCGGCGCGAGCUGUGGAGGAGAAAGCAAUCGAACAUGAAAAGUUUUUGUAGCGGCCGGCUUGUGCGCCGUCUCGGCUUCGGGGUAAAGCAGAGACAGAAGCCUCUGCAUUGACAUCUUAAUUGCAACAAAUAUUUCAAAAAUGGGGAUGUAUGUCAAAUAUGGUUGCACGUCUGAAGUUUAUGAACCAGGUGGUGAUGAUUGCAGAAUUCCAGUCAUUGAGUGUGUCUACGAGUGGAUUCAGGUCCUGGAAAUAUUGGGAGUGAUCUUAGUGCCAGAAAAUAACAGCCUUAGGAGUGUAGGGUGGACCAGUGGAGCAGGUUGUAAACACUAAGCCCCUUCCAGUGAAACUGUUAGCUUUGUGGCCAGAAAGUUUUUUCUUCUGAUGAGACACCUGGCGAUGUAUCGAAAUCUGUCCUGCAUAAUAAAGGAGCGCUGAGGAUGAUGGCUUUCAUGUUGGUUUGGAUGAUGCUGGUUCGGUAGUGUGGCUUCUCUUAUGUCAGCUGCAACCUUUUGGGGUAUCAUAUUCGCUGAUUCUCCACAUUGCGGGAUUUGUCCUGUGUUCGGUUAGGUGUGAUGUGUGUCACAUGUGUGGAUAUGUUGUGGCCGUGGGCCAUGCGUGUGCUUGUGACAGCAUGCUAGGUAAUUUAGGUAAUAUUUAUGGUCAUGUGCAGUAUUCAAAAUUUGGUGCUAGGUCGUACGACAAUACUUCAUAUGAUGUGGCGCAAAUGUUAAUUGGGAAUUCAGCCGUAUUUUAUCUAAUAUAUAUUUGCAUAUAAAUGGUGCAUCAAAUAGCCUCAUAAAUCUGGAAUGAAUAUAUGUUACA
This is an RNA transcript of Triticum aestivum (bread wheat), 1119 nucleotides long. RefSeq lists it as uncharacterized. The record is from RefSeq and is a predicted model, not a curated record. The transcript is spliced from 6 exons. Lineage: Eukaryota; Viridiplantae; Streptophyta; Magnoliopsida; Poales; Poaceae.